RNAcentral lists this ribosomal RNA (406 nucleotides) under uncultured bacterium. Its description in RNAcentral is "partial 16S ribosomal RNA". It matches the Rfam family "Bacterial small subunit ribosomal RNA", at positions 28 to 526 of the family's 1533-position model. The record is from RNAcentral.
GAUGAACGCUGACAGAAUGCUUAACACAUCAGCAAUUGAUUGGUGGCGGACGGGUGAGUAACGCGUAAAGAACUUACCUCACAGUUAGGGACAACAUUUGGAAACGAAUGCUAAUACCUCAUCCUGUGAGAGAGCUUUGCGUCCCAUUAGCUAGUUGGAGAGGUAACGGCUCACCAAGGCGAUGAUGGGUAGCCGGCCUGGGAGGGUGAUCGGCAACAAGGGGACUGAGACACGGCCCUUACUCACACGGGAGGCAGCAGUGGGAAAGAGUGGAAAAUGGACCAAAGUCUGAUCAAGCAAUUCUGUGUGAAAGAUGAAGUUUUCGGAAUGUAAAGUGCUUUAAGUUGGGAAGCGGUACCAACAGAAGAAGUGACGGCUAAAUACGUGCCAGCAGCCGAGGUAAUAC